RNAcentral lists this ribosomal RNA (671 nucleotides) under uncultured rumen bacterium. RNAcentral describes it as "bacterial SSU rRNA". It matches the Rfam family "Bacterial small subunit ribosomal RNA", at positions 74 to 756 of the family's 1533-position model. The record is from RNAcentral.
GCUUCUGAAGAAUCAUUUGAAGUACUUAGUGGCGGACGGGUGAGUAACGCGUGGGUAACCUGCCUCACACAGGGGGAUAACAGUUGGAAACGACUGUUAAUACCGCAUAAGCGCACAGUAUCGCAUGAUACAGUGUGAAAAACUCCGGUGGUGUGAGAUGGACCCGCGUCUGAUUAGCUAGUUGGUGAGGUAACGGCCCACCAAGGCGACGAUCAGUAGCCGGCCUGAGAGGGUGUACGGCCACAUUGGGACUGAGACACGGCCCAAACUCCUACGGGAGGCAGCAGUGGGGAAUAUUGCACAAUGGGGGAAACCCUGAUGCAGCGACGCCGCGUGAGUGAUGAAGUAUCUCGGUAUGUAAAGCUCUAUCAGCAGGGAAGAUAAUGACGGUACCUGACUAAGAAGCACCGGCUAAAUACGUGCCAGCAGCCGCGGUAAUACGUAUGGUGCAAGCGUUAUCCGGAUUUACUGGGUGUAAAGGGUGCGUAGGUGGUUGCACAAGUCAGAAGUGAAAACUAUGGGCUCAACCCAUAGACUGCUUUUGAAACUGCGUAACUAGAGUGCAGGAGAGGAAAGUGGAAUUCCUAGUGUAGCGGUGAAAUGCGUAGAUAUUAGGAGGAACACCAGUGGCGAAGGCGGCUUUCUGGACUGCAACUGACACUGAGGCACGA